RNAcentral lists this ribosomal RNA (253 nucleotides) under uncultured bacterium. Its description in RNAcentral is "partial 16S ribosomal RNA". It matches the Rfam family "Bacterial small subunit ribosomal RNA", at positions 524 to 776 of the family's 1533-position model. The record is from RNAcentral.
UACGUAGGGGGCAAGCGUUGUCCGGAUUUAUUGGGCGUAAAGAGCUCGUAGGCGGUCUGUCGCGUCGGCUGUGAAAACCCGGGGCUCAACCCCGGGCCUGCAGUCGAUACGGGCAGACUAGAGUGCGGUAGGGGAGACUGGAAUUCCUGGUGUAGCGGUGAAAUGCGCAGAUAUCAGGAGGAACACCGGUGGCGAAGGCGGGUCUCUGGGCCGUAACUGACGCUGAGGAGCGAAAGCGUGGGGAGCGAACAGG